AGAUAUUUACCUAAACCUGUGAAAACACCUCUCUGGAUCCUCGAAUUGAAAGAGAGAUUGAGAGGGAUCAAGAAUCCUAAUUCUCGCUAUUUGGAAUGGAUCCAAUUCUAUUGA
RNAcentral lists this ribosomal RNA (114 nucleotides) under Triticum aestivum (bread wheat). RNAcentral describes it as "partial small subunit ribosomal RNA". The record is from RNAcentral. Lineage: Eukaryota; Viridiplantae; Streptophyta; Magnoliopsida; Poales; Poaceae.